UUCUAGUUAGCACAAACGAACGAAGAAACAAAAGUUCCGCAUCGUUCUGCAAGCGGUCCAACAGAUGAAAACAAACGAAACGCGAUCCGUCGAAAAUGGACGGUCGAGAUCGAUUCUAGGCAGGCCGUGGAUAAACGGUGUUUUCACCAUCCGGCUUGACGGACCAAAAAUCUGGUUUAUGCAGAACUCACCCAAUCAGUUCCCAAUUGCAGCUUGUGUUCAUUUUGCACAAAAUACGCCCAUUUGACUACGGUCGACGACGAUUUGACAACGCAGCGCGCACACACCGUUUCCCACUUGGUAGUCUCUACGAUGGCACCCGAGGAAAUCCAUAAACGCGUGGUGCGCUGGCCGUUGCUUUUCGUAAACUGCAUAGGACAGACAACGUUUACAUUUUUGAAAAGGCAGGAACGGUCAGUGUAUAUAGUCUUUGGGAACGGUGCCGUUGGAUUUUUGAGGAUGCAGCGUGUUGCUCGGAAAACCACCCGAUACACACUCUACUAAGGAAUAUAUUUGUUCUCAUUUCUUUGGGUCAUUGUCAAUUUCCUUAAUAUCACAGGUCCAGACACACUUUUGGUCAGUAUACGUAUAUUAAUGGUAAUAAUUAUUAAACGUUUACACAACUGUCAUGAAA
Molecule: long non-coding RNA, 634 nt
Organism: Aethina tumida (small hive beetle)
Lineage: Eukaryota; Metazoa; Arthropoda; Insecta; Coleoptera; Nitidulidae
Exons: 3
Source: RefSeq, a predicted model, not a curated record